UCUGACAGCCCCCGACGUGCUCACGGGUGGGCCGGUCCCCCCAGUGACGGUGCCAUUCGCGUACAGAGCGCGUCCGCUUGGCCCACAGUAACUGGUUACCUGGUAGGUGUUUCUGAAGACAUCUGGUAUCCCAUCCGUGAAGAUGAUGUCCCACAGGAGGAGGCCACAGAGUGUGCUAAAGGUGGACCCUUCCCCGUGAAUACCUAAGACAGCCACACAGGAAAGCUCAACAAACAGAGAGGUGAGGCCGCACCACACCUGUCUCCGAGAAAGGAAACUGCUCUUUCCUCUGGAAGCACUUUAGGUCCCCAGAAGCUCAUCCAGUGGAUCUUCUUGAGAUUCAUGGACCUAGAGUAACAUCUGCUUGCAUUUCUACUGGAAGAACAUAUCUACCAUGUUUCCCACAACCCACAUCUCCCCCAAAUCUACAUUCGGCCAGCAAUACUAAGAGAAGCCACACAACAACACACUACUACACCAGAUGGCAAGAUAGAAGCUUCAUCAAAGAGCAUCUGAUCAUCUUCAUUCUCAAACACGGCUUUCAGCACCAUGAGGAAACUCUGAAGAUAGUAAGGAUGACUCGGCCGUGCUGGAAUUGUUUCAGCGGGAACAUUAGCGCCUGAUCCUUGCUCCAAAGGAAUCUUGCCAAUGAUUUCACUCCUGAAGCCACCAUUAUCUUCCAGAGGAAGUUCUUGGAGGCUAGUCAAGUUAGAACCAGCAUGUGCAGACCCAGGAGAUCCUGUCUCCUGAUGUGAUGACUGUCCUGUAACUUCUGAACCAACUGUCAUCUUUACCUCUUCACAACUUGCUACCUCGUAUUUUUCAACACCUUUUCUAUCUACUUUGAUAUUCUCCUUUGCAAAACUGUUCUCUAAAGCAGACUUUAAUUUAUUCCCAGGAGUUAAAUCUGGUGAAUAUAACAUGGUAGCAGUAUCUGAAAGGGCGGGAGUGAAGGCUGAUUGCCCACGUUCCUGGGGGGCCUUUAAGCUUCCAGCUUCCACUAUUUGAGUGCAUUCCACAGCAUUCUGUUCUUUAAAAUCACAAGUAAACAUAUUUUCCUUUUGAGAACUAUUCUCAAAAACUGGAUCCUUGUCCUCAAUCUCUGUACAGUUAUCUACCAGGCUCCUGACUGCAGUGGAUGAGGAACUCGGUGGACUAUGAUUGACAAAUUCCUCAUUCUUAUUCAUUGAUCUUUUAGCCUUUAUGUAUCUUCUGGACAAUUUAGAUGACAGACUUCCCAAAGGAAUGACUUUCACAUUGCGAUAUGACAGUUCAUCUUGAUUUUUGUGCACCAAAUCAUCCUUACUUUUAAAGUAGGGGCUUGUCUGCUGUUUUAUGCCAAUUUUUGUUGACUCACUUUGGUAAGGGGUUAAAUUGGUCUUAGGUGAUAACAAUUUCUCUGGGGUAACAUUUUCUACCGUAACACUGGUUAAAUUCAUUGUGGAUACAUUUGAUUUCUUUAAGCCAGUAUGCCCCGAACCAGCAGGAGCGAUGUCACCAUUGUUAGCACACACUUCAUCGAGGUGCUGAUUUAAUUCAUAUCUUGGCACCAUUUUACUACAGAUGGGGCAUGCAAGUUUUGCAGGGGGUGCAUUGUUAAAAAAUGAAAUAAUUGAGUUAGAUUCAUUUUUUUUAGCCUUGCUAGUUGAUAAACUUCUAC
Long non-coding RNA from Talpa occidentalis (Iberian mole), 1660 nucleotides. RefSeq lists it as uncharacterized. The record is from RefSeq and is a predicted model, not a curated record. The transcript has 5 exons. NCBI's taxonomy places the organism in Eukaryota, Metazoa, Chordata, Mammalia, Eulipotyphla, Talpidae.